GAUGAACGCUGGCGGCGUGCCUAAUACAUGCAAGUCGAGCGAACAGACGAGGAGCUUGCUCCUCUGCCGUUAGCGGCGGACGGGUGAGUAACACGUGGAUAACCUACCUAUAAGACUGGGAUAACUUCGUGAAACCGGAGCUAAUACCGGAUAACAUGUUGAACCGCAUGGUUCAACAGUGAAAGACGGUUUUGCUGUCACUUAUAGAUGGAUCCGCGCCGCAUUAGCUAGUUGGUAAGGUAACGGCUUACCAAGGCAACGAUGCGUAGCCGACCUGAGAGGGUGAUCGGCCACACUGGAACUGAGACACGGUCCAGACUCCUACGGGAGGCAGCAGUAGGGAAUCUUCCGCAAUGGGCGAAAGCCUGACGGAGCAACGCCGCGUGAGUGAAGAAGGUCUUCGGAUCGUAAAACUCUGUUAUUAGGGAAGAACAAAUGUGUAAGUAACUAUGCACGUCUUGACGGUACCUAAUCAGAAAGCCACGGCUAACUACGUG
This 497-nucleotide ribosomal RNA is filed under the name uncultured bacterium. RNAcentral's name for it is "partial 16S ribosomal RNA". It matches the Rfam family "Bacterial small subunit ribosomal RNA", at positions 28 to 507 of the family's 1533-position model. The record is from RNAcentral.